AGACGUCUUCAGCAACUGCUCUCCUGGAAAAUAUCUUAAGAGGCUUUUACUGUAUUAAGGAGAAGCACAAAUGUGUGAUGUGUAAUAAGCCCAAUUUCUUUCUUCUUGUUGUUUAAUACAUUAAGUCCCGGGACUAUUUACACGGUGGUUGGCAGAGUGUCAAAUGAGGAACAAGCUUGAGUUUAUAGCUUCAUUCAGCUGGAGCUUCUCGCUCCCAAAUUUCUCUCUGGAAAACCUUCAGCUGCAGGGGAUGGUGUGUGAGCUCCCUGUGUCUCCGUCCCAAUUGGGUGGUGGUAUUUGCAUUGCCUUCUGGAUCCUCUUCCACAUGAGGGUAUUUCUGGCAGAAUCCCCCGAGAUCAUGCAUUUAUUUCCACGAAGAAGCCUGUGUCAACACGCGACUUUCUGCAGUGCCAGCUCCCAGAUCUGGGUGGGAAAAGCACACGUCUUAA
Vicugna pacos (alpaca) is the source of this 449-nucleotide non-coding RNA. The record is from RefSeq and is a predicted model, not a curated record. Lineage: Eukaryota; Metazoa; Chordata; Mammalia; Artiodactyla; Camelidae.